Molecule: transfer RNA, 73 nt
Filed under: Petromyzon marinus (sea lamprey)
Lineage: Eukaryota; Metazoa; Chordata; Hyperoartia; Petromyzontiformes; Petromyzontidae
Also listed under: 1 other name
Description: tRNA-Tyr (GTA) (tRNA-Tyr-GTA-6-1)
Rfam family: tRNA
About the family: Transfer RNA (tRNA) molecules are approximately 80 nucleotides in length. Their secondary structure includes four short double-helical elements and three loops (D, anti-codon, and T loops). Further hydrogen bonds mediate the characteristic L-shaped molecular structure. tRNAs have two regions of fundamental functional importance: the anti-codon, which is responsible for specific mRNA codon recognition, and the 3' end, to which the tRNAs corresponding amino acid is attached (by aminoacyl-tRNA synthetases). tRNAs cope with the degeneracy of the genetic code in two manners: having more than one tRNA (with a specific anti-codon) for a particular amino acid; and 'wobble' base-pairing, i.e. permitting non-standard base-pairing at the 3rd anti-codon position.
Source: RNAcentral
CCUUCGAUAGCUCAGUUGGUAGAGUGGAGGACUGUAGAUCCUUAGGUCGCUGGUUCGACUCCGGCUCGAAGGA